GACGAACGCUGGCGGCGUGCCUAAUACAUGCAAGUCGAACGCUUCUUUCCUCCCGAUUGCUUGCACUCAAUUGGAAAGAGGAGUGGCGGACGGUUGAGUAACACGUGGGUAACCUACCCAUCAGAGGGGGAUAACACUUGGAAACAGGUGCUAAUACCGCAUAACAGUUUAUGCCGCAUGGCAUAAGAGUGAAAGGCGCUUUCGGGUGUCGCUGAUGGAUGGACCCGCGGUGCAUUAGCUAGUUGGUGAGGUAACGGCUCACCAAGGCCACGAUGCAUAGCCGACCUGAGAGGGUGAUCGGCCACACUGGGACUGAGACACGGCCCAGACUCCUACGGGAGGCAGCAGUAGGGAAUCUUCGGCAAUGGACGAAAGUCUGACCGAGCAACGCCGCGUGAGUGAAGAAGGUCUUCGGAUCGUAAAACUCUGUUGUUAGAGAAGAACAAGGACGUUAGUAACUGAACGUCCCCUGACGGUAUCUAACCAGAAAGCCACGGCUAACUACGUG
RNAcentral lists this ribosomal RNA (508 nucleotides) under uncultured bacterium. RNAcentral describes it as "partial 16S ribosomal RNA". It matches the Rfam family "Bacterial small subunit ribosomal RNA", at positions 28 to 507 of the family's 1533-position model. The record is from RNAcentral.